Molecule: ribosomal RNA, 460 nt
Filed under: uncultured bacterium
Lineage: Bacteria
Description: partial 16S ribosomal RNA
Rfam family: Bacterial small subunit ribosomal RNA
Source: RNAcentral
CCUACGGGUGGCUGCAGUGAGGAAUAUUGGUCAAUGGACGAGAGUCUGAACCAGCCAAGUCGCGUGAAGGAUGACUGCCCUAUGGGUUGUACACUUCUUUUAUAUGGGAAUAAAAUGUUCCACGUGUGGGAUUUUGUAUGUACCAUAUGAAUAAGGAUCGGCUAACUCCGUGCCAGCAGCCGCGGUAAUACGGAGGAUCCGAGCGUUAUCCGGAUUUCUUGGGUUUAAAGGGUGCGUAGGUGGAUUGUUAAGUCAGUUGUGAAAGUUUGCGGAUCAACCGUAAAAUUGCAGUUUAAGCUGGCAGUCUUGAGUAGAGUAGAGGUGGGCGGAAUUCGGGGUGUAGCGGUGAAAUGCUUAGAUAUCACGAAGAACUCCGAUUGCGAAGGCAGCUCACUGGACUGCAACUGACACUGAGGCACGAAAGUGUGGGUAUCAAACAGGAUUAGAUACCCUUGUAGUC